CCUACGGGAGGCAGCAGUGGGGAAUUUUGCGCAAUGCUCGUAAGAGUGACGCAGCGACGCCGCGUGAAUGACGAAGGCCUUCGGGUCGUAAAGUUUUUUCGACAGGGAAGAAAAUGCCUAUAAGUAACUGUGUAUGUAUUGACGGUACCUGUAUAAGCAGCCCCGGCUAACUCCGUGCCAGCAGCCGCGGUAAUACGGAGGGGGCGAGCGUUGUUCGGAGUGACUGGGCGUAAAGAGCACGUAGGCGGUGUUGUAAGUCAUUAGUCAAAGACUAGAGCUCAACUUUAGUAAGGCUAGUGAUACUAUAAUACUGGAGUAUCAGAGAGGAUUGCAGAAUGCCUGGUGUAGCGGUGAAAUGCGUAGAUAUCAGGAGGAAUACCGUUAGCGAAGGCGGCAAUCUGGCUGGAAACUGACGCUGAGGUGCGAAAGCGUGGGUAGCAAACAGGAUUAGAUACCCCAGUAGUC
This 465-nucleotide ribosomal RNA is filed under the name uncultured bacterium. Its description in RNAcentral is "partial 16S ribosomal RNA". It matches the Rfam family "Bacterial small subunit ribosomal RNA", at positions 338 to 795 of the family's 1533-position model. The record is from RNAcentral.